This is a regulatory RNA element of Monodelphis domestica (gray short-tailed opossum), 52 nucleotides long. It matches the Rfam family "MAT2A 3'UTR stem loop C". The record is from Rfam. NCBI's taxonomy places the organism in Eukaryota, Metazoa, Chordata, Mammalia, Didelphimorphia, Didelphidae.
GCUUUCUGAGUCACUGGAGUAGUUACAGAGAAACCAGCUUCUUUCAGAGAGC